GUCAGGCAUGGUGGUGCACAUCUGUAGUCCUAGCUACUCUGGAGGCUGAGGUGGGAAGAUCACUUGAGCCCAGGAGGUUGAGGCUGCAGUGAGCUAUGAUCAGGCCACUGUACUCCAGCCUGGGCAACAGAGUGAAUCCCCAUCUCUU
Homo sapiens (human) is the source of this 148-nucleotide non-coding RNA. It matches the Rfam family "Metazoan signal recognition particle RNA". From Rfam's summary of the family: The signal recognition particle (SRP) is a universally conserved ribonucleoprotein. The record is from Rfam. Lineage: Eukaryota; Metazoa; Chordata; Mammalia; Primates; Hominidae.